Molecule: long non-coding RNA, 4244 nt
Organism: Astatotilapia calliptera (eastern happy)
Lineage: Eukaryota; Metazoa; Chordata; Actinopteri; Cichliformes; Cichlidae
Source: Ensembl
ACACUGUAUCAAUAUUGUUGAGGUCCAGGCUCUGGCGAGGCCAAGCCACGACUGUUUUCCAUUGGCAGUGUGUUUGGGAUCAUUGUCAUUCUGAAAAAUGAAGCUGUUCCAGCUUCAGCUUCAUUCCAAAUGCUUUUGCAUGGCGGUUGAAAAGCUGAUGGCACAUUUCUGCAUUCAUUCAUCAAUUCUGACAUGAUCACCAACACUAUACUCAUUAACAAUGAUCUAAACCAAAAGUCAAAGUUUCUCUCUCUCCAUAUACAUAAAUAUAUAUAUACACACAUGUAUGUCAGUGGCUUCACACUUGUUCUUUUCAGUAGCUUUAGUAAGUGAUAGAGGGUAGAUCAGAGGCAAGAGCUGCAGUGACUAUAAUUGUAUUUCCAUUAUAAUGAGAGAACUAAAAAUUUGCCUCACAAAUAUAUCCCUAUUUUCACAGCCUGACUAUUUGAACUCUUACAGUGACUUAGCACAUUAACAUGAUUUCCUCUUAAAAGCAGAAGCAAAUAGCAAAACUGGUUUUCGUUUUAAAUUGAAAAGAUUUUUUUCUUCUUCUUUCAGUUUUUCAGACAUGCAGUUUAUUCAUACAGCAGAAUAAGAACAGAUGGGGUAAAUAACAGUACUCUGCCAUGAAGUUAAAUGUAUAAAUAAUUCUGUUGAUUAGACAGAUUCAAACUAAAAGGCACAAAAAACCAUCUCUCAAAGAAAAAACAAACAAACAACUUCUCAACCUUUCAGUGUGUUUGUAGUAUAUUGGGGCCUGUGGAGUGCUUCUUACAUGCUGUGAAAUGCUUCUGACUAUGUGUGGUCUGGACUAUCGUUUUAUAAUGUGGCAAUAGAUCAAAUUACACAAACUGUUUUCGUAUUUGGUUGCACAUUUGGAUUGCAUUUUAGGUUUGGGCAGUAUUAAGUUUGAAAACGCUUUCUGAGGGAACUCAAUAUGGGGCGUUGUGAAACUGAUUAAUGGUGGAGCAAAGAGUUGGCAUUGUUUCAGCACCAACCACCAGCAACAGACUCUAGAUAAUGAUCAAACCUUCCUGAGCAGCACCUUACAGCAGAUGCAUUCAUAUCAACAAAUUUGUCUCUCAAAAACCCCCAAACAGUUCUGCCAUUAUUGUUGCACAUGCACGCUAUGAAACCACAAAAUACCAGUUCUAGACUUUCCUAUGCAAACAAAAUGUUAGGUAUGUCUGAGAAUGUGGUGGACAUUCUCAGACUUUCAGUUGUGGUGUGGCAACAGUCUCAAAAAGGUCAAACAGGUCAAAAAGUCUGAGUUUCUUCAGGGAAACUUCUCUUUAAAGAGGAGCAAGUUUUGAAUUUGUGCUGUGAUGUUUUAGGAACUUGGGGCCAAAACAUAAAUCACAUAACCUAACCUAAAGCUAAAGAAACACAACAAAAUAUAACUUCUAUUUCAAACAUUUUCAAAUUCACAUUAAAAUGUCACACAUGGUGGCUUUAAGACUUCAUCGAUUCACUUGUAAGUAGUAAUUGCAUGCCACAAACUUCUGUAUUUCCUGAUUUGGAUGCAUUGCCCUUCUCAGAGAGGUCCAGAAUUGAUGAAAGCUUGUUGGCUUUCUUCUGAUUUUUCAAAUCUUUUAGUAAAGUCCCGAUGUCUCGAGAAUCGUGUCAUCUCUCGCAGGUUCGUCUGCAAUGCGAGUUAGUCUUCUUGAGGAAGAAACACCACCACCAUGUUCUGGUUAAAACGUUUCUUCAAUUGUGGAGAGAAACUUCUUUCUGGUUACUGUACAUACUUCCGCAAUCAGCUGCUGUUGGCUGUUAAUCUUCUCAUUUUGGCAGUUUCUUUGAUAAUCAAGAUCUGCUCUUGAUUAAGCUAAGAAUAUAAAAAAUAAAGUGACAAUUCAAGUGCAAACAAGUUCUUGCAUGCCUUUACCUGGCAUCAGAUAUUUUCUGCAACUCACUUGACCGAACAAAUGCUUCCACUUCCGUUUGUUUACCCCAUAAGUACAUAAUCAUCUGGACAUUCGUCUUUAGAUGAGCACUCAGAUUCAGACUGAGGCUGAAGUGCUGCAGGAAUAUUAACUGUAGCAUAGUCGCAGUCGUCGUCGGUGAUCUGGUUUGUCGGUGGUCUGUUAUGUCUUGCUCCUUUGGCUUUGUCGUGGUUAAUAGAAGCAUACGUUACAUCUUCGUUGGGUUGCUGGAAGAGAGAGAGUGAGAUGGGUGAUCAUCUACCCGUAUUGUGCCCAUCAAAUAAUUUAUUCUACUUUUUACACUGUGUUUCUGCAGCUGGCAUAUUUUGAAAUGUGUCUACAUGCCGCGGGUUCCUGUGUAGUUUGUUUUACGGCAGAAGCCUCAUGUUAAUCUUCUCCAAGUAUGUAAAUCCAAAGUGGAACACACCCAUGUCUUAUGAAAAUCAUGAGCUGAUAACGGUGAAGAUUUAUGGUCAACAGAAAUAGAACCAAAAUUAAUGCGGGGAUGUCUACCUUGUCAUUCGCGGUCUUAUCAUCUGGUUCAGAAUCCCCUGAAAGAGGAAAUAUGGAAAAAUCAUAAAAUUAUAAUAGUUUUUUCUUUUGUUUAUGAUAUUUAUCACAUUUAUACUGGGGAAAGUAACACAAAAGCAAUAAGAAAUUAGUAAUACAAAAUAGCUUUUACCUUUCUCUUUCUUCUUUCUGAAAAUAAAGCAAAUUGAAACGAUAAGCUACCAAGGACCACAAUGUUAGCACACACAGAAGAAUAACGCCUUUGGAUAAUACUGCUUAUUGAGUCAUAUGUCUUUCACCUCAAUAAAUCAUAUAAAAUAUUAUCUGUGGCAGCAGGUGUGGGCUUUAGCCUACAGCAGUGUUUCCUUGACAGCUUUAACAAUUAAGCGCUUGUGCUGCAACAGGAAACACUUUACAUAGACCUACAAUCAACACCUGUUUAUAACCAACUGAAUAUGGCAGUGAAUAACCAACGAGGGCAUCACGCUUUGCAUAUUUCUAGACUUGCCAUUUUAGACGGUAAUAUAUUGAAUAUGUAACGCAACAGCAAAAUAUGUUCUUUGUAUUUGACUUAGUUCUUGUAAGAAGACAACCAGAACCCAGGGCUAUUUUUAUCUCGUAACCACGGUUUCCUUGCUAGAGGAAAUGUAGAAACUUCUUGUAAAAAACUGCACAAUCAUUUCAUUUAAACUUUUUUUUUUUUUAUAAAUAUUUUCGCUGUAGUUAAUUCACAAAUACCUUAAAUAUAUUUUCUGCAUUUACAGCAGUUAAAGGAGUGUUUUAGAAUACAUCACAUUCUGAUGAAUAACUUUGUAAUAUAUGAAAGUCCCCACUUAUAGGAAUGUGUGAAUGAAUGUAUGAGCGUGUAUGAUGACUUACCCUGAAGCACAGUUUCCCAUGACGAUCCCACAGAGUGCCUGGUUGCUGGAGAAGGGCCCCUCGGCCUGACGCUGUAGUAGAUAUGAGCUGAUCGCUUCCUUGCAUCAAACUGCAUAUAGGCCACAGUAGUGAGGAAGUGGUAGAAAAGAGAGGCAGAGUGAGAAUGAGGGAGAGAGAGAGAGAGAGAGCAAGUGAGAGAGAGAGAAGCAAAUGUGCUAUCACACCAAUAGGAAAAUAACAGUACUGAUGUAGAGGAAAACGGUCAGUACUAACAAACAGCAUACAAAAUAUAAUGUGACACAUUGAUAUUAAUACGGAAAUGCUGUAACACUUUGCUGACACAAAAUACUAAAUUUUUUGAGCGCUCUAUUCAUAUAAAAUUGUGUAUAUCUAUAUGGAUGUACUUGUAUGUAUGUGGAUAUAUUGGUUUGUUGGGGGUUUUUUUUAUGUCAGAAAUAAAAGGUCAUCAUCAUCGUCACCUACUGUAUUUGCUGUAGUUUAAAAUAUUUGCCAUUGAGCAAACAUGAAAUAUCUGCAUCGUGAGAUAACACAGAAGUGAGUAGUUACUGUAAUGUAUUUUGUUGUCAGUGUAUGGUGUCAUUUGCAUGUCUGUGUAAAUAUUUUUGAUGUGCAACAACAGGAAGUCAGUGAUCUUUGCUACAUGGAAAGUCCAGGUUUGGUUCACAAACUAUUUAUUGUCAGCAGGAAAAAGAACCACACCUUCAUAUUCAUUCAGAGAAAUGUCUGGAUAUGCACCACCUAGUAACACUCUGUACAGGAAAGGCUCAAAGAAUGAGCUCAGAGUGGACAAACUGAAGACUUAUCACAUCAUUUUCUUUUCUCUAAUGAUGAAAUAAAUUAUCAGAUAAUCACACCAGAUAAUCAUCUUUACUGAUAUGUUUUCAAAUAUAAUAAAAACAUUGCAAAUUU